GGAGUUGGUAUCUCAGUGGUAGAGGGCAUGAUUAUUAUGUAUGAUGUCCUGGGUUCAAAUCCCAGCUGCUCCC
Dallia pectoralis (Alaska blackfish) is the source of this 73-nucleotide non-coding RNA. The record is from the annotation of a GenBank genome assembly. NCBI's taxonomy places the organism in Eukaryota, Metazoa, Chordata, Actinopteri, Esociformes, Umbridae.